This 407-nucleotide ribosomal RNA is filed under the name uncultured bacterium. RNAcentral's name for it is "partial 16S ribosomal RNA". It matches the Rfam family "Bacterial small subunit ribosomal RNA", at positions 28 to 526 of the family's 1533-position model. The record is from RNAcentral.
GACGAACGCUGGCGGCGUGCCUAAUACAUGCAAGUAGGACGCAGUUGCGAACGGGUGGGUAACGAGUAGGUAACUGCGUGGUAGAAGGGGAUGACUAGUGGAAACGAUAGCUAAUACCGCAUACUAAUCGGUGGACCUGUGUUGUAUUAGCUAGUAGGUAGGGUAAUGGCAUACCUAGGCAAAGAUACAUAGCCGACCUGAGAGGGUGAGCGGCCACACUGGGACUGAGACACGGCCCAGACUCCUACGGGAGGCAGCAGUAGGGAAUCUUCGGCAAUGGGGGGAAGCCUGACCGAGCAACGCCGCGUGAGUGAAGAAGGUUUUCGGAUCGUAAAGCUCUGUUGUUAAGGAAGCGGUACCUAACCAGAAAGGGACGGCUAACUACGUGCCAGCAGCCGCGGUAAUAC